RNAcentral lists this small RNA (588 nucleotides) under Pan troglodytes (chimpanzee). RNAcentral describes it as "retained intron". The record is from RNAcentral. Lineage: Eukaryota; Metazoa; Chordata; Mammalia; Primates; Hominidae.
GCAAGUUGCUUUGGCAGAUAUCAUUCUCAUUAUAAAACAGACUUGGUUCCAGAAGAAGAUGUAAAGAAAUUAAGAACGACAAUUAGAUCCAUAAAUGGACUAGGACAAAUCUUAGAAACACAAAGAUCAAGGUACUUUAAAAAAGCUAUUCCUAUUAAUAACAAAUCAUUUUAGUUAUUAAUAAUAAACAUUAAGUAAUUGACAAAUAUGCUUGAUUCUAAUAUAAGAAAGAUCUAAAUGCAUUUAAAAAGAAUUGGAUCCAAAAUGUUGUUUGGAAUGCUCUUAAUAAGUUAGUUUGGCAUAUUUGGCUAGUACAUUUCCCUGUCUUCAAAACUAAGAUUACAAGGCCAUGAUAACACUGUGUAAGUGUUUGCUUAAUGAGGAAGAAAAGACUUCCAAACACUCGAGAGGGUAACUCAGUACAGAAAUCUGAAGUAUAUUGAGGAAUCUUAAUUUGAAGUGUUUAAAUGGCUUUUUAAUAUUUAAAAAGCCUUCUUAGUGUUUUAUAGUUGCCAAAAAAUACAUGGAGUCUUUAUCUUGAAGUUCCUGACAAAUUCUUUUAUUAAAUUUUGACUUUCAUUUUCUCUA